AUGUCAUUGCAAGUUGCAUCUUGCAGAACACAUCAAACAGCAAAGAAGAUUAGAAAAAUAGAAGACAUAACCAGAAGACAAUAUGAACACAUCAAAAUAGUAAAGACUUUUGUUUUGCUCACCCAAUUUGCAAUGCCAUUUGGCUCCCAAUUGCAGCACCAGGACCCGGACGCCCUUCACUCUCACCCAUGGAUGAUUGGCUACCGGCUGUGCCACUCGCAGAUGCCAUGGUUUGGUACCUAUCAGGCCAACAACAAGCAAUCAAUUCCUAUCAAGAACAGCAGCAGCCAGCAGCACAAGUAA
RNAcentral lists this ribosomal RNA (303 nucleotides) under Triticum aestivum (bread wheat). RNAcentral's name for it is "partial small subunit ribosomal RNA". Lineage: Eukaryota; Viridiplantae; Streptophyta; Magnoliopsida; Poales; Poaceae. The record is from RNAcentral.